AAGUGAUCCUCCCACAUCAGCCUCCCGAGUAGCUGGGACUGUGAGACAACUUCAGGUUAAGGGACUUAGCCAAAGUUAUACGGCCAGUUGCUAGAAGAAUCAGAACCAGCACCAUGUCACCUCCUUCACUUCAAUAUUACAUGAAAAUCUGCACAGCCUCCUGGAAACAUCCAAC
Long non-coding RNA from Lemur catta (Ring-tailed lemur), 175 nucleotides. RefSeq lists it as uncharacterized. Lineage: Eukaryota; Metazoa; Chordata; Mammalia; Primates; Lemuridae. The transcript has 3 exons. The record is from RefSeq and is a predicted model, not a curated record.